This 7215-nucleotide long non-coding RNA is filed under the name Sus scrofa (pig). Its description in RNAcentral is "lncRNA (ENSSSCG00005041259.1)". Lineage: Eukaryota; Metazoa; Chordata; Mammalia; Artiodactyla; Suidae. The record is from RNAcentral.
UUUUUUUUUUUUUUCGGUCUUUUUUUGGGGGCGGGGUGCAAACCAGAGGCAUUUGGAGGUUCCCAGGCUAGGGGGUGAUUUGGAGCUGCAGCUGCCAGCCUACACCACAGCCACAGCAACACAGGAUCCCAGCUGCGUCUGCGACCUCCACCACAGCUCAUGGCAACACUGGAUCCUUAACCCACUGAGUGAGGCCAGGGAUGGAACCUGCAUCCUCAUGGACGCUAGUCAGAUUCAUUUCUGCUGAGCCAUGACGGGAACUCCCAUUUUUAAUCAGAAGACUCUUUAUUAGUGCCUCUGGAGCCCUGGAGCCUCUGACCUGAUCCUGGAGCUGGGACCAAGGGGCCUAGAAUCAUAGCCCUGCUUUAAAAGCUCACUCCCCCACCCCAUUCCCCAGAUUGGGUCCAGCCCUAGACACAUGGAGGGAAUGGGAAAGAUAGAAGCCAAAGGAAGCUGGACCUGGCUUGGCACCACCUACCUCAUGACCUCUGGCACCUUAGUUUCAUCAUCUGUCAGAUGGGUAAUCUUCUCAAUGAAUUUUUUGCUGAUCAAGUGAAGGAACUUGUGAAGGAAGCGUUUCAGAGGACAUUAAUAAUGCUUGGCACAUACAUCUAUUCCUCGCACCCCCAGCUCGUUAGCUACCAGAAAAGAAAGGGGGGGAAAUCAGCUCAUCCUUUAAAUCAGUGCUUUCUGGUAAGGGCAGGUGCUAAAAGUUAUUAACAAUCAAACAAAAAGUUGGGAUAUGAGGAUGAGUUGGAGGAACAAGUUGCUCAGGUUCAGAAGGCAGAAACCCAGAGCUGACUUUGGUCAUUUGCAGUCAUCAGAGCUCAGGCUUUGACAGAGCAAAACGUUCAGAGGAUCCUGGAAGCCCAGAGUGGAAGAGGCUCUUCCCAUCAUCUGGUUGCCCCCUACCAGGUACUUGAGAUAAGCUGCUGACCUCCACAAUACAUACCCCAGAGGAUCUCCUGCCAGUGUCACCCCUGGUCCAGUAACAAGAUAGCACUUGGCAUCCAGGCUGCAUUUGUGCUAAAGUGGGGAGGGGGCUGGAUCCCAGGGGAGUCUUCCCUCCAGAUGGGGUCCCUGAGGCUGGGUGAAGGUCCCAUAGGGUAUGGAGCCUCACGGCAGGAAGUUGGAGGGGUGCACAUGGCACAGUAGCAGCUCCCUCACCCCCAGGGAGCCUAGUUAGCAGCAGCACUGAACACACACUGGAGAGGCUCGGGAUGAACCUGGCAACCUCGUGCCUGCCACAGGUGGACACGGGGAGGCUGGGGCAGGUGGACUCUAGGAAAGAGCAUCCUUGAUGAGGGCCCAGGGAUUCAACCAGAGUUGUUAGAUGGUCAUUCGCUUGUGAUUUCCUGGGAAAUGUGACACUGAUGUCCCUUCCCAUGCUCUCACUGCCCCCCAUGAUGCUCUUCAACUGAUGCCAUGUUGACUGAUUAACCACCACCAGCAAAAACCAUCCUAGACCACUGGCUUUGACCUUGGUGGGUACACAGUGGGCCCUAGGUAAGCUGCAUAUCUUUCCUAGUUAGAACUUUCACCUUCCAGUGCCUCUCAGACACCCUAUGAUUUACUGAAAGUCUGUGCUGAGGAGUGGGGGGAUGCAAUUCCACAUUGAGAGAGGCUCAGAAGCCUACUUUACUCCCUGCUUCCAGCCAGAAUAAGGGUCUUGACCCUGUUCUUGACCCAGGGCAUGAAAAUCACAUAGGGAGCUUUUAAAAAAAACAGUCAAAAAAAUAAAAUAAAAUAAAAUAAAAUAAUAAAAAAUCAAUAAAAAAUAAAAAAAGUCAGUGCCUAGGCCCCUCCCCAGACCAGGUGAGUCAGAAGCUCAGAGGGCAGGGGCUUGGAAAUCAGUAGUUUUAAGAGCUCCCGGGGUGACUCUAAUAUGUAGCCGGGCUUGAGAAUGGCAGAGCUGGGACAUAAGCUAGAGAAAGAUGUGUUGGCUAGGCUGUGCACAAGCACAAAAUCUGGUUUUUCUUGAUAAAGGUAAUGCUGAUUUAGAGUUGCCUAAAAAUAAUCUUCCACAUUGUAAAAGGAUUUUAAUGAGCUUUUUUUCUCCUGGGUAGACUCAUGAAUACAUAAGCAGGCCACCAGCCCUUUGUGUGGAUCCAGUGCCUAAGGCCAACAGACAGCUUUACAACAGUUAAUUUUCACAGACAAUUGUGUGCCCCAAAUCAGACCGCUCCUCAUCUAUCUCUGCCAGAUGGGCCACACACCCCAGGUGCCUCCCCAGCCCCCACUUCUUCACCCCUUGGACAAGGUGGAUGCCCCCCACCCAGGCUUCUGCUCAGCCAGGAAGGGCUGAACCAAGGCCUACAACUCCGGACAGGUCUCCACCUGGCUCCAGGGCCCCUCAACUCACCUGAGUCCUGCUGUUGCCCCUGCUUCAAGGUCGUAGGAGACAUUAACAGCUGCACGAGACUGCUGGGGCCAAGCAGGGAGCUGGAGCUCAAAGGUAUCAUUCUGGGCUGGCAGGGAGGCCACAGCCAAACCACGUCCUCCCCGGCCUCCCCCAGUCUGCAGUAUGGAUCGUGGUCACUUGCAGAGGGCUUCUGCAUCCCCCAGCCACAGGAAAUCCUGCCUCUGAUCUUCUUUCCCUGGCCCUUUCUUGUGAGCAUUUCCUAAGGCCCCCUAUUUUACCAUGGUGUCUGUGCACACACACCUGCUUACCUCCUUCCCCUAACCACGAGGUGAGCUUAAAAAAGCAGGGGCUGCACCUCAGCCUCAAAAAUCCCUCCAUAGCUCUUAGUCCUGGGCCUCCUGUGGGUGCUGAAUGGCUGAGUAAAGCUCCCGAGUCAGCCUGUGGGGGAAGUGAUCCACUUUUAUAGGAAGAGGCCCUUUGCUGGUGGUCUCACCCCAGGAGAAGGGAUGUUGACUCAUUUCACCACUGUGUCCCCACAGCGUAGAACAAUGCCUGGCACAGGGUAAAUACUCAAACAUUGGUUGAAUUUCAUUCUGCAUUUAGUGGUCACUGAAUCAGCAAGAAUCACAGGUUGAACUUGACAUGCCAAGGUCUGUUCCCUAGUAGCAUGUCUUUGACUUACUAAUUUUUUUCCUUUUUGGCCAUCCCAAGGCAUGUGGAGUUCCGGGCCAGGGAUCAGAUUCCAGCCAUACUUUUGACCUAUGCUGCAGCUGUGGCAAGGCAGGAUCCUUAACCCACUGUGCUGGGCCUGGAAUGGAACCUGUGUCCUGCUGCUGCAGAGACACUGCUGAUCCUGUUGAGCCCAUGGCAGGAACUCCUGGCUUACUAAUUUUAAUCUAAUUUUGUCUCUUGGGGAAAAACAACUGCCAUCCUUAGGGUGGGGGUAAGUGAUUCCUCCCUGUACCCAGUCAAAAAACCUGUUUUGAAGGGCAGAUGCCCUAGAGAUGCGACUCAACAAGGCUGGGAGCAUGGUACACAAAAUUAACCUUUGUUAGGGGUGCAGAGUGUGUCAGGCAUUAAGUAGGAGCUUUCUGUAAAUUAACUUCAUCUUCCUAUUAGUCUGAUGGAAUAGGGCUGGCAGCCUGCCUGACACCUGAGCAACCCGAUUUGGAGCAGGCACACAACUUGCCCUCAGUCACACGAUCGCCAGAUGGGGAAAGAGGGAUUUAGCCCAACUUUCAGGCUAGCUCCAAAGUUUGCGGUGUCUCUUGAAAAUGCCCAGCCCUGAAUAGGCCCUGAUGGGCCCGUUCCAUUCAGGCCUCUGUGUUUGGAGACCCCUCAGUCUUGGGCUGGUCCCCCAAUAUUCAUCCCCUUCUCUUCCCCUGCCCUCAUUGUUGCUGAGCAUUUUCCUUUUAGAAUUUAGUUCUCGAAGAAAUCUCUGGGAACUCCAUCUUGGGCCCUUUGUGCUAAGGCUAACGAUCACUGCCGGCCACCAGAGGGCCACAUCCCAAACAUCCCCAUUUGAGGAAUCCAAGCGCUCUUUUAGGUUUGGUUUAAUUUUCUUAAAAAUAGAAGCCAGCUGAUGUGUCUGGCAGACCAGUAUGGAAGCUCACCCAGGGAACCACUCUGAGUGCGAGAGGGGCAGCUGGGUGGCGAGGGUGAUGCCUCCGGGUGGGCACUGUUGCAGAGGGAGGCAUUAACACCAACUGAGGAAAGAGACUUUCCAGCUGACCUCCCCAAGGAGAACGUCUUUCCCCAGCAACAGCACUGCCAGCCUGCAGCUUUCCCCAGCUCUGCCUCACUGCCCACCAUCCAACCUUCACUUUUCUUUGGCUGGCUCCUUGCCACGCCAGGGCUUCUACGGAAGGCUGGCCAUUCCUAGGAAACAGCCAAAGUACCCCUUGUUUGGGGUGACCAAUGGCCCUCACCUUGUCCUCUUUCCUUGCCACUAGGGAGGCAUUUUAAAGGUUUUUACUGAGGACUCCACUGAAAAGCCUCCAGCUCUGAGACCUGGAUAAGUGGGCUAUACUUUACCACAGUGGCCAUCUCGCCACCUGCCCCUGGCCCCUUGCCCCUGCUCCAGGAGGUGCCACCAGUCCCAGAAGAGACCAUGAAGCCCUAUAAGGGGUGUGGGGGCACUUGAAUGAGGCCCCGGUCCCCAGGUGAUUCAUCAGGAAGUGGCCUUCCAUAGGCCACAGGGGCCUGAGCAAGCUGAGGGCCCUGGGGGAGAGGGAAUGGGCUGAAGCUCUUCCAUGAAGCCCCUUCAAGGAGAGAACACUGAGGACACCAGGCAGCUGGAGCCCUCGCUCCAGGGCUUCUCAUGAGGGGCCAGGUCCCCCAGGUGGAGAGAGACAACCCCCGCCCCCACCUCUUCAGCCAUGUGCACAUCCCCAGGCAGAAUCCCAUUCCCAGAUCACGAAAACCCUCCCGGUCAGCCACACAGGCAGAUACUGUCCAGGGGAGCAGGAGGCACCUGCUCUGGGAUCAGGCCCAAGUCUCCCACCAUCGAGCCAAUCCUGCGUCCCCUUGCCAACCCCAAGGUCAAUAACUGGUCCUCGCCCCUUCAUUUAAAAUGCUUUAUGCUGAGAGCCCAAAAUCAACGGUCAGAGACUUAAUAUCUCCCAGCCCCAGAAUGCAUGCCACAUGCUGAAUUAGUUCCAGCAUGUGCUGGAUUUCUUGUCCCACCACACCUCCAGCCAGACUGAGAUCCUGGCCAGGGGACUGAGUUCUGAGGCUGAUCAGGGGAGAGCAAGACUUUGGAGCUGGGAUAGGAGUCCUGUACUUACAGAAACCCGUGGGGGCUUCGCAGACCCAGGGACGCAGCAGGCCUUAGCCUUUCUCGCAGGGAGUGGAGAAGGGGCCCGGCUCAGUCACCCCCAGAGGCUGGGAAGAGGCCCUUCUGCUGCCUUCUGAGGAGCCCCAGGCUGUGCCUCAGCUAAGGACAUUCCCAGGAAAGGAGGCCUGAGAGAGGUUUCUGCUCCACUGAAGGAUGGAACAAGGGGACACAUGGGACUUGGGGAGAACAUUCCAGAAAUUGACUGCCUAUAGACAAGGGUGGUGGUGAGGGAACCAUCCUAAACAGAGUAAAUGCACAAGUUAUUAUACAGGAAGGAACAUGCAGAACACGUACAAGGACUCUCUCCCACCCUGUCCCUUCUUCCCACGAACACCACACAGAGCGACAAUGUCAGCGAAGCAAAGACUCAAUAAAAAUAAUCAGUCAACCAAAGAAUUCUGCCCCUUGCAUCCCUAAUCGAAGUUACUGAUCAAGUGAGAAAAGGCUGUACUUUGCCUCCUUCCUCUCUUUAUAAGAUACGCAUUUGAAAUUUCUGAUGGAAAAAUACCCAGUAGAUGCCAGCAGCUGAGGUCAACAGGGGCUCACAGUCAUCUAACUCAGCCUGCCUGGCUCUUCAAGCUGAAUUCCCGUUACUGCUCUCUCUCAAGUGACUUCAUAUCUCACUGUCAUUUCCACUGCCCACAGAGGCACAAACAGUGCAACAAAUCAGGGUAAUCCAAUUUAGCUAGCGAGCUCCUGGCAGACUGUGCCAAGCCUGGAAGCCUCUACGCGGCAGAUGCCAGCAGAGGCAAACCUGAAUAGGGUAGCCAGAUAAAAUUGGGAUAUACUUAUACUAAGAACUGUUUAUCUGAAAUUCAAAUUUAGCCAGGUGUCCUGUGUUUUUAUUUGCUAAAUCUGGUGCAGAUGAAGGGGCCUUCGCUGCAGGCCAUGUAGGCCUGGAUUCUACCUGAGAGCCACCAGCCGAGGCCAGCCCUGCUGGGGCCACCCGAGAGAUGGGUCUGUUUCUCUGCCAGACAUCCCCUCUGGGAUCACUGGCUCCCCCACUUCCUGCUCAAACAGAAGCCACUGUCUGAGGCAAACUCUUAGCUUUCCCCUCCUAAGAAAUAGAUUCUUAAGGACUCCAAGGGCAAAGGCAACAGGGAGGGCAGAGUUUGCCAAUGCAAUGCUGAGUUUCUGCCAGCCCCCCAGCCACCUGCGCCCCCCCCUUUUAAAAAGAUAUGGCCUUUAUAGAGUUCCCUGGCAGCUUGGUUAAGGAUCUCGCACUGUCACUGCUGUGGCUCAGGCUGCUACAGUGCUGUAGGUUUGACUCUGACCCAGGAGCUUCUGUAUGCCAUGGGCACAGCAAAAAAAAAAAAAAAUUCUGGUCUUUACUAUUGGUGACAGUAAAUCAAAUGUCCACCCCUUUCUCAAGGUUUCCCUGAAGAUUAUGCAGCUCAGCAAAUUUCCUUCUUUGAAGGAUCAGUCCUGUUUAAACUGACCCCAGGAGACACUCCUCUAUAACUUCAGACUGAAUGAAUGCCUUUUAAAGGCCGCUAAGUCUGAAUCCAGGAGUGUGAAGCUGGUAGAGGAUGUGGGGAGGGCAAAGGCACAGGAGGCCAAAGCAAAGAAUCUGCUCAAACAUUUGCUGAGCAAGCCAUCGUGGGCUAGAUAGCCAGGAGAAGGCACACAGAAGCUAUGUCAAAAAUCAAGGUUAGGACAAAAAAAUUUCCCUCCUUUCCUGGGUUAGCAAUUUAGAGCCAACAGCAUUUCCACUUAGGUGCUCCUGGUAAAAAAAGGCAAGGAGCUGGAGUUCCUACUGUGGCGCAGCGAAAACAAGUGCAACUAGUAUCCAUGAGGACGUGGGUUCAAUUCCUGGCCUCACUCAGUGGGUCCGGGAUCUGGAGCUGCCAUGAGCUGUGUUGUAGGUUGCAGACAGGGCUCAUAUUGUGCAUUGCUGUGGCUAUGGCUGUGGUGUAGGUUGGUGGCUGCAGCUCCAAUUUGACCCCUAGGCUGGGAACUUCCGAAUGCCAUGGGUGCAGCCCUAAAAAGCAAAAAAAAAAAAAAAAAAAAAAAAAAA